AUACCCUAUUAUUUUUAUUGUAAAAUUUCAAGUCGGAGUAUUAAUAGUUAUGAUCUUUAAACUUAAAGAAUUUGGCGGUAUUAUAGUCUAUUUAGAGGAAUCUGUUAUAUAAUCGAUAAUCCACGUUGAACCUUACUUAUAUUAAUUCUUGUAUACCGCUGUUUAAGAAUAUAUUUUUAGGUAAUUUUCAAAAUAUAAUAAUAAUUAAUAUUUCAAGUCAAGGUGCAGUUAUAUAUAAGUUGAAUAAUGGAUUACAAUAAAUUUUAUUUAUUAUGAAUUGUUAUUGUAAAAGUAAUUUGAAGGUGGAUUUAAUUGUAAUUUUAUAAAGAUUAUUAAAAUGAUUUUAGCUCUAUAAUAUGUACACAUCGCCC
RNAcentral lists this ribosomal RNA (371 nucleotides) under Pseudovates cingulata. Its description in RNAcentral is "partial 12S ribosomal RNA". Lineage: Eukaryota; Metazoa; Arthropoda; Insecta; Mantodea; Mantidae. The record is from RNAcentral.